Molecule: ribosomal RNA, 455 nt
Filed under: Pseudomonas sp. R-46111
Lineage: Bacteria; Pseudomonadati; Pseudomonadota; Gammaproteobacteria; Pseudomonadales; Pseudomonadaceae
Description: bacterial SSU rRNA
Rfam family: Bacterial small subunit ribosomal RNA
Source: RNAcentral
GGCUCAGAUUGAACGCUGGCGGCAGGCCUAACACAUGCAAGUCGAGCGGCAGCACGGGUACUUGUACCUGGUGGCGAGCGGCGGACGGGUGAGUAAUGCCUAGGAAUCUGCCUGGUAGUGGGGGAUAACGCUCGGAAACGGACGCUAAUACCGCAUACGUCCUACGGGAGAAAGCAGGGGACCUUCGGGCCUUGCGCUAUCAGAUGAGCCUAGGUCGGAUUAGCUAGUUGGUGAGGUAAUGGCUCACCAAGGCGACGAUCCGUAACUGGUCUGAGAGGAUGAUCAGUCACACUGGAACUGAGACACGGUCCAGACUCCUACGGGAGGCAGCAGUGGGGAAUAUUGGACAAUGGGCGAAAGCCUGAUCCAGCCAUGCCGCGUGUGUGAAGAAGGUCUUCGGAUUGUAAAGCACUUUAAGUUGGGAGGAAGGGCAGUUACCUAAUACGUAUCUGUUU